RNAcentral lists this ribosomal RNA (450 nucleotides) under uncultured bacterium. Its description in RNAcentral is "partial 16S ribosomal RNA". It matches the Rfam family "Bacterial small subunit ribosomal RNA", at positions 354 to 796 of the family's 1533-position model. The record is from RNAcentral.
GUGGGGAAUAUUGGACAAUGGGCGAAAGCCUGAUCCAGCCAUGCCGCGUGUGUGAAGAAGGUCUUCGGAUUGUAAAGCACUUUAAGUUGGGAGGAAGGGCAGUAAGUUAAUACCUUGCUGUUUUGACGUUACCAACAGAAUAAGCACCGGCUAACUUCGUGCCAGCAGCCGCGGUAAUACGAAGGGUGCAAGCGUUAAUCGGAAUUACUGGGCGUAAAGCGCGCGUAGGUGGUUUGGUAAGAUGGAUGUGAAAUCCCCGGGCUCAACCUGGGAAUUGCAUCCAUAACUGCCUGACUAGAGUACGGUAGAGGGUGGUGGAAUUUCCUGUGUAGCGGUGAAAUGCGUAGAUAUAGGAAGGAACACCAGUGGCGAAGGUGACCACCUGGACUGAUACUGACACUGAGGUGCGAAAGCGUGGGGAGCAAACAGGAUUAGAUACCCGGGUAGUCC